Molecule: ribosomal RNA, 507 nt
Filed under: uncultured bacterium
Lineage: Bacteria
Description: bacterial SSU rRNA
Rfam family: Bacterial small subunit ribosomal RNA
Source: RNAcentral
GACCUUCGGGCCUCUCGCGCUAAGAUUAGCCCAGGUGGGAUUAGCUAGUUGGUGAGGUAAAGGCUCACCAAGGCAACGAUCCCUAGCUGGUCUGAGAGGAUGAUCAGCCACACUGGAACUGAGACACGGUCCAGACUCCUACGGGAGGCAGCAGUGGGGAAUAUUGCACAAUGGGGGAAACCCUGAUGCAGCCAUGCCGCGUGUAUGAAGAAGGCCUUCGGGUUGUAAAGUACUUUCAGUCGUGAGGAAGAUUAUACAGUUAAUAGCUGUGUGACUUGACGUUAGCGACAGAAGAAGCACCGGCUAACUCCGUGCCAGCAGCCGCGGUAAUACGGAGGGUGCGAGCGUUAAUCGGAAUUACUGGGCGUAAAGCGCAUGCAGGCGGUCUGUUAAGCAAGAUGUGAAAGCCCGGGGCUCAACCUCGGAACCGCAUUUUGAACUGGCAGACUAGAGUCUUGUAGAGGGGGGUAGAAUUUCAGGUGUAGCGGUGAAAUGCGUAGAGGUCUG